Molecule: unclassified non-coding RNA, 209 nt
Filed under: Hevea brasiliensis (rubber tree)
Lineage: Eukaryota; Viridiplantae; Streptophyta; Magnoliopsida; Malpighiales; Euphorbiaceae
Source: RNAcentral
GAAUGGGAGCGGAGGUGGUGGAGAUUCCCACCGUACGUCUCUCAAAUAUCCCGCAAUCCCUCAUAGCCAAAGACCUUCUACAGUACCUCGAAUCCCAACUCGGUCCAGACUCCGUCUUCGCCAUAGAAAUCUCCACAGAACGCAAGAACUGGAAAUCCCGAGGUUUUGGCCGUGUCCAAUUCACUUCCCUCGAGUUUAAAGAGAACGCC